RNAcentral lists this transfer RNA (71 nucleotides) under Belgica antarctica. RNAcentral describes it as "tRNA IU25_tRNA_49". Lineage: Eukaryota; Metazoa; Arthropoda; Insecta; Diptera; Chironomidae. The record is from RNAcentral.
GCCCCGCCCGAGACUCGAACUCGGCUCUUCCGCUUGGGAAGCGGACAUUUUACCCCUAAACCAGCGACGCU